RNAcentral lists this ribosomal RNA (773 nucleotides) under uncultured Neocallimastigales. RNAcentral describes it as "partial large subunit ribosomal RNA". It matches the Rfam family "Eukaryotic large subunit ribosomal RNA", at positions 24 to 624 of the family's 3401-position model. The record is from RNAcentral. Lineage: Eukaryota; Fungi; Neocallimastigomycota; Neocallimastigomycetes; Neocallimastigales.
UAUCUCUGUAGAGUCUGCAUAUCAAUAAGCGGAGGAAAAGAAACUAACAAGGAUUCCCCUAGUAACGGCGAGUGAAGCGGGAAGAGCUCAAAUUUGAAAUCUUCAAGGUUUGACCUUGACGAAUUGUAGUUUAAAGAAGUGUUUUCGGUUAGAGGAGUAGUAAAAGUUCUUUGGAAUAGGACAUCAUAGGGGGUGAGAAUCCCGUAUUUGACUAUUCUUUCUAGCUUUGUGAUACACUUUCAAAGAGUCGGAUUGUUUGGGAAUGCAGUCCAAAAUGGGUGGUAAGUUUCAUCUAAAGCUAAAUAUUGGCGAGAGACCGAUAGCGAACAAGUACCGUGAGGGAAGGAUGAAAAGAACUUUGAAAAGAGAGUUAAACAGUACGUGAAAUUGUCAAAAGAGAAGCGUUUGACACCAGUGUUGUUUUUCCGAAAAUCAAUUAAAAAUUGAUUCAUGCCAGGUUGUAUUGACCUUAUCAGCUUGCAACUUGGUUUUGGGUCUCUUUUUGAUGCACUUUUCGGUUAACAAGUCAACAUCAAUUUCCUUUGCUGUAAAAAGGUAAGAGGAAGGUGGCUUCAAUUCCGGUUGAAGUGUUUAUAGCCUUUUAUCUCUGCAGUCGGGGAGAUUGAGGUCUGCAGCGUAGAUCCUUCGGGGCUAGAUACACUUAUGCUAAGUUAUAGCUUUUCAUAGACAACUUGUUGACUAUGUUUAGUCAUGUAGCUUACUCGUAAGUGCUAUUUUACCUACGCUUAGGAUGUUGAAGACUCUACAGAGAU